UACGUAGGGUGCGAGCGUUGUCCGGAAUUAUUGGGCGUAAAGAGCUCGUAGGCGGUGUGUCGCGUCGAUCGUGAAAACUUACAGCUUAACUGUGAGCGUGCGGUCGAUACGGGCAUCACUGGAGUUCGGCAGGGGAGACUGGAAUUCCUGGUGUAGCGGUGAAAUGCGCAGAUAUCAGGAGGAACACCGGUGGCGAAGGCGGGUCUCUGGGCCGAUACUGACGCUGAGGAGCGAAAGCGUGGGGAGCGAACAGGAUUAGAUACCCUGGUAGUCC
Molecule: ribosomal RNA, 274 nt
Filed under: uncultured bacterium
Lineage: Bacteria
Description: partial 16S ribosomal RNA
Rfam family: Bacterial small subunit ribosomal RNA
Source: RNAcentral